RNAcentral lists this transfer RNA (72 nucleotides) under Branchiostoma floridae (Florida lancelet). It matches the Rfam family "tRNA". From Rfam's summary of the family: Transfer RNA (tRNA) molecules are approximately 80 nucleotides in length. Their secondary structure includes four short double-helical elements and three loops (D, anti-codon, and T loops). Lineage: Eukaryota; Metazoa; Chordata; Leptocardii; Amphioxiformes; Branchiostomatidae. The record is from Rfam by way of RNAcentral.
GACCGCGUAGCGCAGCGGCAGCGUGUUUGACUCAUGACCAAGAGGUCUCGGGUUCGAAUCCGGCUGCCGUAU